Molecule: long non-coding RNA, 1489 nt
Organism: Drosophila ananassae
Lineage: Eukaryota; Metazoa; Arthropoda; Insecta; Diptera; Drosophilidae
Exons: 4
Source: RefSeq, a predicted model, not a curated record
UGUUAAUUACUAAGCACAUUUAUGCUUUACUUUUCGGCACCAUAAUGUAAAUUUUUUAGGAAAUAGUUUCUAGUUUGAGCUUAGAUCAAUUGCAGUUAAACCGUUGUAAUGAAAAUAGCGGCUUACUUAAUAUUGUGUACAAUAUGUUGCUCAACUAUUUUAAAACAUACUUAUCGAAAUUUAAAUGUGAUUACGAGAACCAAAAGAUUUUUAAUAUUUCCACGACAAGCUCCAACGCGGCAUCAGUUUAUAACUGGAAUUGGCAUACCAGCAGAUCUUAAAUAUGAAUCCCUUACAAUUGGUUAUGUGUUAAAAGCAGAGUUUUAUUUACCCUAUAAUGCAAGUAUUUAUAGGCAAAACCCAUUUUUCCCUGAUUAUAAAACGAUUCAUAAAACUGAAAAUCAACGAAAAUUUAAUAAUGCUAUGGAUAUAAGGUGGAAAGUUUACGAUUUUAUAGAACAAUUGCUUGAAAGUCAUAACUUUGGUGGCCGUGACUGUUUAUUGCAGUCCAUAUGUCUGGCUAACAAACUACGGUUUUCUAAGUAUAUUAGUUUUGCUGACGAAAUCCUACAUAUAAUUUUAAGACCUUCUUCAUCUUUAAACACUCAAUCGGAAUAUUCUUAUGACUUUAUCAUCGCAGAAAAGAAAGCUACAGCAAUGGACUGUGAAAUUUAUAGUUGUAACAUUAAACCAAUUAACUGGGUUUCCAGCGCACUAUGGGGAAUUUGACUACUUUUAGUAGCAUAAACUUAGGCCUAUUUUCUAUUUCUAUUUUAUUUAAAGUCUUUGCUGCCUCUUAACCGAAUGUUUGAACUCAAUUCUUAAGAAUACGCGCCGAAUGAACUAUUAGCAUAUUGACCAAGGAUGUCAUUGCAUGCAUAUUUUUAUAUAAUGAAGAUCAUACAAAAAUUUCUCAUAUAUAUCUACUUUUCCAAAUUUUUCUGAUGUUAAAAAAAUAAAAUAUUUGUCUAAUGUCAGUUAUUGCGGAAACUUUUACAAAUGGGUCUUUUACAAAUAUUUUUUUUAACUAUUUUGGAUCUAAUUUAGGCUUAAGUUACCAUCCAACCAAUAAUUAGUUCAACAAAAAGUGUUUUUUUUAUACUGUGUGUUUUAUAUAUGCAGAAGGUAUUAUAAUUUUGGUCAAAAGUGUGCAACGCAAUGAACGAGACAUCUCCGACCCUAUAAAGUAUAUACAUAUAUUCUUGAUCAGGAUCACCUCCUGAGAUGAUAGGGACAUGAUUUCUAUACAACGAAAAAAUAAGCAAAAUAGUAGUAUUUACACAUACACAAAACAUAAAUUUAAAAUACCCAAUUUAAAGGAUCUAGGAAAAAUAUAUUGUUUUCUUAAUUUUUCGCUUUCUUAAGUAGAUUUCAAUAUUUCUGUGGUAUAUUUAUUACAAUCAGUUGGCUUUGACAUUAGUUUAAUUAACUUAAGAAUAGAUUAAUCUGUACACUUUUAGUCCAUAUAAUAUAUUAACGGAAUUAAAAA